AGCAGCCGCGGUAAUUCCAGCUCCAAUAGCGUAUAUUAAAGUUGUUGCAGUUAAAAGCUCGUAGUUGAAUUUCGGGAUCAAAGAAUCGGUCAUGCCUUGGUAUGUACUGGUUUUAUUGGUUCUCACCUUCUAAAGAACCCAUGAUGUCAUUCAUUUGAUGUUAUGGGGAAUUAGGACUGUCACCUUGAAAAAAUUAGAGUGUUUAAAAGCAAGCUUACGCUUGAAUACAUUAGCAUGGAAUAAUGAAAAUAGGACAUCAGAUUCUAUUUUUGUUGGUUUCUAGGAUCGAUGUAAUGAUUAAUAGGGAUAGUUGGGGGCAUUAGUAUUCAAUUGUCAGAGGUGAAAUUCUUGGAUUUAUUGAAGAUUAACUACUGCGAAAGCAUUUGCCAAGGAUGUUUUUCAUUAAUCAAGAACGAAAAGUUAGGGGAUCGAAGACGAUCAGAUACCGUCGUAGUCUUAACCAUAAACUAUGCCGACUAGGGAUCGGAUGAUGUUAAUUUUUUAAUGACUCAUUCGGCGC
This 520-nucleotide ribosomal RNA is filed under the name uncultured Glomus. RNAcentral describes it as "SSU rRNA". It matches the Rfam family "Eukaryotic small subunit ribosomal RNA", at positions 569 to 1086 of the family's 1831-position model. Lineage: Eukaryota; Fungi; Glomeromycota; Glomeromycetes; Glomerales; Glomeraceae. The record is from RNAcentral.